AGGAGUGCAGGUGGAAGGCAUUCCUUUGAAAAAGGACGAGACUGAUGUGAACCAAUCACAUGAUAGAUGGAGACUACUACCCAGCGGUAACCGUCAAGAAAGAUCGAAACUGCCCAUGGUACACCCUCGAACUUCAACUGCUUAAAUCUGCCUGCCGCAAACUCGAGGGAUGGAGCACAAGGAGGUUAAGUGACUUGCUCAGGUUC
Long non-coding RNA from Polyodon spathula (Mississippi paddlefish), 206 nucleotides. RefSeq lists it as uncharacterized. The transcript is spliced from 3 exons. The record is from RefSeq and is a predicted model, not a curated record. Lineage: Eukaryota; Metazoa; Chordata; Actinopteri; Acipenseriformes; Polyodontidae.